AUGCUUACUUCGGCAGCACUUAUACCAAAAUCGGACUCAGACAGAGAGGCUUAGCAUGGCCUGGGCAAGAGUGACAUGCAAAUUCAUGAAGUGUUUCUUUUUUUU
Molecule: small nuclear RNA, 105 nt
Organism: Loxodonta africana (African savanna elephant)
Lineage: Eukaryota; Metazoa; Chordata; Mammalia; Proboscidea; Elephantidae
Source: Ensembl